GAGUUUGAUCCUGGCUCAGAUUGAACGCUGGCGGCAGGCCUAACACAUGCAAGUCGAGCGGAAACGACGGAGUGCUUGCACUCCGGGCGUCGAGCGGCGGACGGGUGAGUAACGCGUGGGAAUCUACCCUUUGGCGGGGGAUAGCCCGGGGAAACUCGGAUUAAUACCGCAUACGCCCUUUUGGGGAAAGACGGCCUCUGUUGCAUGCUGUCGCCGAAGGAUGAGCCCGCGUCAGAUUAGGUAGUUGGUGGGGUAAAGGCUCACCAAGCCGACGAUCUGUAGCUGGUCUGAGAGGACGACCAGCCACACUGGGACUGAGACACGGCCCAGACUCCUACGGGAGGCAGCAGUGGGGAAUUUUGGACAAUGGGCGAAAGCCUGAUCCAGCCAUGCCGCGUGCAGGAUGAAGGCCUUCGGGUUGUAAACUGCUUUUGUACGGAACGAAAAGGUUUGGCCUAAUAAGCUGAGCUCAUGACGGUACCGUA
Molecule: ribosomal RNA, 485 nt
Filed under: uncultured bacterium
Lineage: Bacteria
Description: bacterial SSU rRNA
Rfam family: Bacterial small subunit ribosomal RNA
Source: RNAcentral